AUAAGACUAGCAUAUGUAAAGAACAACAUUAAGGAAGGCUUAUAGAAGAAUUGGGACAUACUAUAAAGAUCAUCUAUCCAGUGAGAUGGGCAGGCUCUCUUCACUUCAAAAGACUACCAAGUCCAGCUAAGCAAUGAGAUAACUCCAAAAAUAAAUGAGGAACUAUUGAAGUGAUAUGUAAAUGGACGUACAGCUAGAAUCAAAUUUGAUUUUGCUUUGUUUCAAGAACAAUAUGGAAGAAAUAAAUCUGACAUGCCAACUGCUGACAUAAAUAUAUCAAAACAUAAAAAUCUGAAGUGAAAAAGACAGGCUGUAGCUUAUACUGCUUUACCUCGGAGAGGGUACAGUCAACAUCAGCUCCAAGGGAAGAAAAUGAUCAGGAGGAAGAGAAUAAAGAGAAGGAAGAAAAGGAAGAGGAGGAAGAAGAAUAUCACAUCAACAAAUUUGUAUUGCAGGACUACUCUACACAGAGAUGGUUCUAAGCACUGGGAAUACAGGACUGAACAAGAGAGGUCUACUUAUGAGGAAUGGAAUUUUGGAAAGGAAGAUAACAUCUAAUUGAGAAUCGAUAGCUUUUUGAUCAAAAACAACUGCACAUGUUCAUCUGUUAACGAAAAAUUUCUGCAUCAACCCUGAGCUGAAAAUAUUGCAAUGAAACUUGACCACUGCUAAGCUAUUGAAAUGUGCGAUAGGGUACACAUCCAGAUGGCCGGUUCCUGCCUUAACUGAUGACAUUCCACCACAAAAGAAGUGAAAAUGCCUGUUCCUGCCUUAACUGAUGACACUGUCUUGUGAAUUCCUUCUGCUGGCUCAUCCUGGCUCAAAAGCUCCCCCACUGAGUACCUUGUGACCCCCAUUCCUGCCCACCAGAGAACAACCCCCCUUUUUCCUUUACCUACCCAAAUCCUAUAAAAUGGCCCCACCCCUAUCUCCCUUCAUUGACUCUCUUUUCGGACUCAGCCCGCCUGCACCCAGGUGUUUAAAAGAUUUAUUGCUCACACAAAGCCCGUUUGGCAGUCUCUUCACACGGAUGCACAUGAAAUUUGGUGCCGUGACUCGGAUGGGCGACCUGCAUUAGGAGAUCAAUCCCCUGUCCUCCUGCUCUUUGCUCCGUGAGAAAAGUCCACCUACGACCUCAGGUCCUCCGACCGACCAGCCCAAGAAACAUCUCACCAAUUUCAAAUCCAGUAAGCGGCCUCUUUUUACUCUCUUCUCCAACCUCCCUCACUAUCCCUCAACGUCUUUCUCCUUUCAAUCUUGGUGCCACACUUCAAUCUCCCCCUUCUCUUAAUUUCAAUUCCUUUCAUUUUCUGGUAAGAGACAAAGGAGACACGUUUUAUCCGUGGACCCAAAACUCCAGCAUCAGUGAUGGACUAGGGAAGGCAGCCUUCCCUUGGUGUUUAAUCAUUGCAGGGAUGCCUCUCUGAUUAUUCAACCAGGUUUCAGAGGUGUCAGACCACGUGGGGAUGCCUGCCGUGGUCCUUCACCCUUAGCAUCAAGUCCCGCUUUUCUGGGGGAGGGGCAAGUACACCAACCCCUUCUCCUUCACCCUUAGUGGCAAGUCCCGCUUUUCUUGGAGGAAAGAACCCCCAAUCCCUUAUUUCCAUGCCCCGACCUCUUAUCUCUGUGCCCCAAUCCCUUAUUUCCAUGCCCCGACCUCUUAUCUCUGCGCUCCAAUCCCUUAUUUCUGCACCCUGACCUCUUAUCUCUGCACCCCAACCCCUUAUUUCCAUGCCUUGACCCCUUUCCCACUUUUCUGGAAGGUAAGAAACCCCUGAACCCCUUCCCUCCGUGUCUCUACUUUCUCUUUUCUCUAGGCUUGCCUCCUUCACUAUGGGCAAUCUUCCACCCUCCAGUCCUCCGUCUCCCUUAGCCUGUGCUCUCAAGAACUUAAAACCUCUUCAACUCACACCUGACCUAAAACCUAAAUGCCUUAUUUUCUUCUGCAAUGCAGCUUGACCCCAAUACAAACUUGACAGUGGUUCCAAAUAGCCAGAAAAUGGCACUUUCAAUUUUUCCAUCCUGCAAGAUCUAAAUAAUUCUUGUUGUCAAAUAGGCAAAUGGUCUGAGGUGCCUGACAUCCAGGCAUUCUUUUACACAUCGGUCCCUCUCUAGUCUCUGUUCCCAAUGCAACUCAUCCCAAAUCUUCCUUCUUUCCCUCCCACCUGGCCCCUCAGUCCCAACCCCAAGCGUCACUGAGUCUUUCUAAUCUUCCUUUUCUACAGACCCAUCUGACCUCUCCCCUCCUCCCCAGGCUGCUCCUCGCCAGGCCAAGCUAGGUUCCAAUUCUUCCUCAGCCUCCGCUCCUCCACCCUAUAAUCCUUUUAUCACCUCUGCUCCUCACACCUGGUCCGGCUUACAGUUUCGUUCUGUGACUAGCCCUCCCCCACCUGCCCAGCGAUUUAUUCUUACAAAGGCGGCUGGAGCUAAAGGCAUAGUCAAGGUUAAUGCUCCUUUUUCUUUAUCCCAAAUCAGAUAGCAUUUAGGCUCUUUUUCAUCAAAUAUAAAAAUCCAGCCCAGUUCAUGGCUUGUUUGGCAGCAACACUGAGACGCUUUACAGCCCUAGACCCUAAAAAGUCAAAAGGCCAUCUUAUUCUCAAUACACAUUUUAUUACCCAAUCUGCUCCUGACAUUAAAUAAAAAUCCAAAAAUUAAAUUCCGGCCCUCAAACCCCACAACAGGACUAAAGUAACCUCACCUUCAAGGUGUACAAUAAUAGAGGCACCAAGUAGCAACAUAUUUCUGAGUUGCAAUUCCUUUCCUCCACUGUGAGACAAACCCCAGCCACAUCUCCAGCACACAAGAACUUCCAAAUGCCUAAACCGCACUGGCCAGGCAUUCCUCCAGAACCACCUCCCCCAGGAGCUUGCUACAAGUGCCAGAAAUCUGCCCGCAGCCCGGGAUUCCUCCUAAGCCGUGUCCCAUCUGUGCGGGACCCCACUGGAAAUCGGACUGUUCAACUCACCUGGCAGCCACUCCCAGAGAUGCUGGAACUCUGGCCCAAGGCUCUCUGACUGACUCCUUCCCAGACCUUCUCGGCUUAGCAGCUAAAGACUGACGCUGCCUGAUCACCUCAGAAGCCCCCUAGACCAUCACAGACGCCGAGCUUCAGGUAACUCUCACAGUGGAAGGUAAGUCCGUCCCCUUCUUAAGCAAUACGGAGGCUACCCACUCCACAUUACCUUCUUUUCAAGGGCCUGUUUCCCUUGCCUCCAUAACUGUUUGUGGGUAUUGACAGCCAGGCUUCUAAACUUCUUAAAACUCCCCAACUCUGGUGCCAACUUAGACAAUACUCUUUUAAGCACUCCUUUUAGUUAUCCGCACCUGCCCAGUUCCCUUAUUAUGCCGAGACACCUUAACUAAAUUAUCUGCUUCCCUAACUAUUCCUGGAUUACAGCUACAUCUCAUUGAAGCCCUUCUUCCCAAUCCAAAGCCUCCUUUGCAUCCUCCUCUUGUAUCCCCCAACCUUAACC
Molecule: long non-coding RNA, 3473 nt
Filed under: Homo sapiens (human)
Lineage: Eukaryota; Metazoa; Chordata; Mammalia; Primates; Hominidae
Description: HSALNT0080515
Source: RNAcentral